GGCAGUGUAGCACAGUGGUUAAGGAGCAGGGCUCCUAACCAUAUAGUUGCUGGUUCAAUUCCUCUCUAGGACA
This is a non-coding RNA of Megalops atlanticus (tarpon), 73 nucleotides long. NCBI's taxonomy places the organism in Eukaryota, Metazoa, Chordata, Actinopteri, Elopiformes, Megalopidae. The record is from the annotation of a GenBank genome assembly.